AACGCGAAGAACCUUACCUGGGCUCGAAAUGCAGGAGACCGGGGUAGAAAUAUCCCUUCCUCGCAAGAGGCUGCUGUAUAGGUGCUGCAUGGCUGUCGUCAGCUCGUGUCGUGAGAUGUUGGGUUAAGUCCCGCAACGAGCGCAACCCUCAUCCCUAGUUGCCACCGGGUAAUGCCGAGCACUCUAGUGAAACCGCCCCGGAUAACGGGGAGGAAGGUGGGGAUGACGUCAAGUCCUCAUGGCCUUUAUGUCCAGGGCUACACACGUGCUACAAUGGUCGGUACAAAGCGCUGCAAACUCGCAAGAGGGAGCUAAUAGCAAAAAACCGGUCUCAGUUCGGAUCGCAGGCUGCAACUCGCCUGCGUGAAGCUGGAAUCGCUAGUAAUGCCGUAUCAGAACGAUGGCGUGAAUACGUUCCCGGGCCUUGUACACACCGAUAGC
Molecule: ribosomal RNA, 441 nt
Filed under: uncultured bacterium
Lineage: Bacteria
Description: bacterial SSU rRNA
Rfam family: Bacterial small subunit ribosomal RNA
Source: RNAcentral